Molecule: ribosomal RNA, 995 nt
Filed under: Rhodococcus sp. AMF3804
Lineage: Bacteria; Bacillati; Actinomycetota; Actinomycetes; Mycobacteriales; Nocardiaceae
Description: bacterial SSU rRNA
Rfam family: Bacterial small subunit ribosomal RNA
Source: RNAcentral
AGGCCCCUUCCGGGGUCCGAGCGGCGAACGGGUGAGUAAGCGCUGUGAUCUGCCCUGCACUUCGGGAUAAGCCUGGGAAAAGGGGUCUAAUACCGGAUAUGACCAAAGGCUGCAUGGCUUUUGGUGGAAAGGUUUACUGGUGCAGGAUGGGCCCGCGGCCUAUCAGCUUGUUGGUGGGGUAAUGGCCUACCAAGGCGACGACGGGUAGCCGACCUGAGAGGGUGACCGGCCACACUGGGACUGAGACACGGCCCAGACUCCUACGGGAGGCAGCAGUGGGGAAUAUUGCACAAUGGGCGAAAGCCUGAUGCAGCGACGCCGCGUGAGGGAUGACGGCCUUCGGGUUGUAAACCUCUUUCAGCAGGGACGAAGCGCAAGUGACGGUACCUGCAGAAGAAGCACCGGCCAACUACGUGCCAGCAGCCGCGGUAAUACGUAGGGUGCGAGCGUUGUCCGGAAUUACUGGGCGUAAAGAGCUCGUAGGCGGUUUGUCGCGUCGUCUGUGAAAACCAGCAGCUCAACUGCUGGCUUGCAGGCGAUACGGGCAGACUUGAGUACUGCAGGGGAGACUGGAAUUCCUGGUGUAGCGGUGAAAUGCGCAGAUAUCAGGAGGAACACCGGUGGCGAAGGCGGGUCUCUGGGCAGUAACUGACGCUGAGGAGCGAAAAGCGUGGGUAGCGAACAGGAUUAGAUACCCUGGUAGUCCACGCCGUAACGGUGGGCGCUAGGUGUGGGUUUCCUUCCACGGGAUCCGUGCCGUAGCUAACGCAUUAAGCGCCCCGCCUGGGGAGUACGGCCGCAAGGCUAAAACUCAAAGGAUUUGACGGGGGCCCGCACAAGCGGCGGAGCAUGUGGAUUAAUUCGAUGCAACGCGAAGAACCUUACCUGGGUUUGACAUAUACCGGAAAGCUCGUAGAGAUACGGCCCCCCUUGUGGUCGGUUACAGUGGUGCUGGCUGUCGUCACUCGUGUCGUGAGAUGUUGGUUAAGUCCCGC